This 885-nucleotide ribosomal RNA is filed under the name Phoma sp. Its description in RNAcentral is "LSU rRNA". It matches the Rfam family "Eukaryotic large subunit ribosomal RNA", at positions 68 to 969 of the family's 3401-position model. The record is from RNAcentral. Lineage: Eukaryota; Fungi; Ascomycota; Dothideomycetes; Pleosporales; Didymellaceae.
ACAGGGAUUGCCCUAGUAACGGCGAGUGAAGCGGCAACAGCUCAAAUUUGAAAUCUGGCGUCUUUGGCGUCCGAGUUGUAAUUUGCAGAGGGCGCUUUGGCAUUGGCAGCGGUCCAAGUUCCUUGGAACAGGACGUCACAGAGGGUGAGAAUCCCGUACGUGGUCGCUAGCCUUUACCGUGUAAAGCCCCUUCGACGAGUCGAGUUGUUUGGGAAUGCAGCUCUAAAUGGGAGGUAAAUUUCUUCUAAAGCUAAAUACUGGCCAGAGACCGAUAGCGCACAAGUAGAGUGAUCGAAAGAUGAAAAGCACUUUGGAAAGAGAGUUAAAAAGCACGUGAAAUUGUUGAAAGGGAAGCGCUUGCAGCCAGACUUGCCUGUAGUUGCUCAUCCGGGUUUUUACCCGGUGCACUCUUCUGCGGGCAGGCCAGCAUCAGUUUGGGCGGUUGGAUAAAGGUCUCUGUCAUGUACCUCUCUUCGGGGAGAACUUAUAGGGGAGACGACAUGCAACCAGCCUGGACUGAGGUCCGCGCAUCUGCUAGGAUGCUGGCGUAAUGGCUGUAAGCGGCCCGUCUUGAAACACGGACCAAGGAGUCUAACAUCUAUGCGAGUGUUUGGGUGUCAAGCCCGAACGCGUAAUGAAAGUGAACGGAGGUGGGAACCCCUCGGGGUGCACCAUCGACCGAUCCUGAUGUCUUCGGAUGGAUUUGAGUAAGAGCAUAGCUGUUGGGACCCGAAAGAUGGUGAACUAUGCUUGAAUAGGGUGAAGCCAGAGGAAACUCUGGUGGAGGCUCGCAGCGGUUCUGACGUGCAAAUCGAUCGUCAAAUUUGGGCAUAGGGGCGAAAGACUAAUCGAAACUAUCUAGUAGCUGGUUUCCUGCCGAAGUUU